RNAcentral lists this ribosomal RNA (586 nucleotides) under uncultured bacterium. Its description in RNAcentral is "bacterial SSU rRNA". It matches the Rfam family "Bacterial small subunit ribosomal RNA", at positions 338 to 916 of the family's 1533-position model. The record is from RNAcentral.
CCUACGGGAGGCAGCAGUGGGGAAUUUUGGACAAUGGGCGCAAGCCUGAUCCAGCCAUGCCGCGUGUGGGAAGAAGGCCUUCGGGUUGUAAACCACUUUUGUCAGGGAAGAAACGGUCUUUUCUAAUACAGAGGGCUAAUGACGGUACCUGAAGAAUAAGCACCGGCUAACUACGUGCCAGCAGCCGCGGUAAUACGUAGGGUGCAAGCGUUAAUCGGAAUUACUGGGCGUAAAGCGUGCGCAGGCGGCUUUGCAAGACAGGUGUGAAAUCCCCGGGCUCAACCUGGGAACUGCAUUUGUGACUGCAUGGCUAGAGUACGGUAGAGGGGGAUGGAAUUCCGCGUGUAGCAGCGAAAUGCGUAGAUAUGCGGAGGAACACCGAUGGCGAAGGCAAUCCCCUGGACCUGUACUGACGCUCAUGCACGAAAGCGUGGGGAGCAAACAGGAUUAGAUACCCUGGUAGUCCACGCCCUAAACGAUGUCAACUGGUUGUUGGACGGCUUGCUGUUCAGUAACGAAGCUAACGUGUGAAGUUGACCGCCUGGGGAGUAACGGCCGCAAGGUUGAAACUUCAAAGGAUUGACGG